This 451-nucleotide ribosomal RNA is filed under the name uncultured soil bacterium. RNAcentral describes it as "bacterial SSU rRNA". It matches the Rfam family "Bacterial small subunit ribosomal RNA", at positions 951 to 1384 of the family's 1533-position model. The record is from RNAcentral.
UAGUGAUUAACGCGAAGAACCUUACCUGGGCUCGAAAUGCAGAUGACAACCGAUGAAAGUCGGCUCCCGCAAGGGCGUCUGUAUAGGUGCUGCAUGGCUGUCGUCAGCUCGUGUCGUGAGAUGUUGGGUUAAGUCCCGCAACGAGCGCAACCCUCGUCCUCUGUUGCCAUCAGGUCAAGCUGGGCACUCUGAGGAGACUGCCGGUGAUAAACCGGAGGAAGGUGGGGAUGACGUCAAGUCAGCAUGGCCUUUAUGUCCAGGGCCACACACGUGCUACAAUGGGCGGUACAAAGGGUCGCAAACCCGCGAGGGGGAGCCAAUCCCAAAAAGCCGCUCUCAGUUCGGAUUGGAGUCUGCAACUCGACUCCAUGAAGUUGGAAUCGCUAGUAAUCGCGGAUCAGCACGCCGCGGUGAAUACGUUCCCGGGCCUUGUCACACCGAAUCGAAUUCC